GUAAAGAGGGAGGAGAGAAUGUAAAGGGGACGUAAAGAGGUAGGAGAGAAUGUAAAGGGGACGUAAAGAGGUAGGAGAGAAUGUAAAGGGGACGUAAAGAGGUAGGAGAGAAUGUAAAGGGGACGUAAAGAGGGAGGAGAGAAUGUAAAGGGGACGUAAAGAGGGAGGAGAGAAUGUAAAGGGGACGUAAAGUGGGAGGAGAGAAUGUAAAGGGGACGUAAAGAGGUAGGAGAGAAUGUAAAGGGGACGUAAAGAGGUAGGAGAGAAUGUAAAGGGGACGUAAAGUGGGAGGAGAGAAUGUAAAGGGGACGUAAAGAGGUAGGAGAGAAUGUAAAGGGGACGUAAAGAGGGAGGAGAGAAUGUAAAGGGGACGUAAAGAGGGAGGAGAGAAUGUAAAGGGGACGUAAAGAGGGAGGAGAGAAUGUAACGGGGACGUAAAGAGGGAGGAGAGAAUGUAAAGGGGACGUAAAGAGGGAGGAGAGAAUGUAAAGGGGACGUAAAGAGGGAGGAGAGAAUGUAAAGGGGACGUAAAGAGGGAGGAGAGAAUGUAAAGGGGACGUAAAGAGGGAGGAGAGCAUGUAAAGAGGGAGGAGAGCAUGUAAAGGGUACGUAAAGAGGGAGGAGAGACAGCGACGCCCUUGCUGUGCCAUAAGGCAACAGAGUACAACUAGAGUGAUUGGAGAGCAGGAGGACUCAGAUAGAGCAGAUUCUCUAGAGCGACUCACGAGCUCUGAUGAUGACACAGCUAAUCCACGAUUGGCAGAGUACACCGCUUGACAACGAUCACGUGUGUUUCAUGUCUCUUCUCACACCUUCAGUUCCACUAAGGAUCACAUCUGUUCUUUAUAACAGUAAAAGCUCUUUUCACAUAGUUGCGAUAAAUGUUUAUCAAAAUAAAACAAAUAAAACAAUGUAGACCCCACUUCACUGGUAUUUAGGCUUAUUUUGAACUUUAUUCUUGUACAAACAGUAGUGCAUGUAUUGAAUGAAAAUGUCUCUGAAAUAUCUGUAUUUGGAAAAUAAUGCGUUUAUUCCACUUCAGCUGUGGUAAAGUAUGCAAACUUAGCCUGAGCAUCACUACAGGAAGCAGAAAGUGUCUGACAUCACAUCUCAGUUUUCAGCUUCUCUCAUCUGCACACGGCAACUCUCACCAAUCGGUUACAUCCAGCCACAGCCCAUGUCCAGCACAGCUAAUAUAAGGGAUGAAUAGAGGCAGUAAAUGUAAAGAGGAUGAAAAGAGGGAGGAGUAAAGCGGGUAAAAAGAGGGAGGAGUAGAGUUAAAGAGGAUAGAGAGGGAGGAGUAAAGAGGGUAAAAAGAGGGAGGAGUAGAGUUAAAGAGGAUAGAGAGGGAGGAGUAAAGAGGGUAAAAGAGGGAGGAGUAGAGUUAAAGAAGAUAGAGAGGGAGGAGUAAAGAGGGUAAAAAGAGGGAGGAGUAGAGUUAAAGAGGGAGGAAGUAAAGGAGGAAGUAGAGAGAUUUUGAAGAAGGGUGGAUGGAGGAAGUACAGAGGAUAGUUGGGCACUGAGAAUCAUUCCCACCUCCAAGUUAAUUGAUUUUUCAUUGUUGUUCUUUAAAAAAAAAAUUUUUUUUUGAAGUUCUGUCAUUAACUGCAAUGUGCACUUUCAACACAAUGUGUCCAAGACUGUUAAUAUUAAAGAGUCAUUUAAUCAGAGUCCCCAAAGAGUCAUUUAAUCGGAGUGUGUGUGUGUCACUCGAGUCCCCAAAGAGUCAUUUAAUCGGAGUGUGUGUGUCACUCGAGUCCCCAAAGAGUCAUUUAAUCGGAGUGUGUGUGUCACUCGAGUCCCCAAAGAGUCAUUUAAUCGGAGUGUGUGUGUGUCACUAGAGUCCCCAAAGAGUCAUUUAAUCGGAGUGUGUGUGUCACUCGAGUCCCCAAAGAGUCAUUUAAUUGGAGUGUGUGUGUCACUAGAGUCCCCAAAGGGUCAUUUAAUCGGAGUGUGUGUGUCACUCGAGUCCCCAAAGAGUCAUUUAAUUGGAGUGUGUGUGUCACUAGAGUCCCCAAAGGGUCAUUUAAUCGGAGUGUGUGUGUGUCACUAGAGUCCCCAAAGAGUCAUUUAAUCGGAGUGUGUGUGUCACUAGAGUCCCCAAAGGGUCAUUUAAUCGGAGUGUGUGUCACCUGAGUCCCCAAUGAGUCGUUCAAUUGGAGUGUGUGUGUCACUAGAGUCCCCAAAGGGUCAUUUAAUCGGAGUGUGUGUGUGUCACUCGAGUCCCCAAAGGGUCAUUUAAUCGGAGUGUGUGUGUGUCACUCGAGUCCCCAAAGGGUCAUUUAAUCGGAGUGUGUGUGUCACUAGAGUCCCCAAAGGGUCAUUUAAUCGGAGUGUGUGUGUGUCACUCGAGUCCCCAAAGGGUCAUUUAAUCGGAGUGUGUGUGUGUCACUCGAGUCCCCAAAGGGUCAUUUAAUCGGAGUGUGUGUGUCACUAGAGUCCCCAAAGGGUCAUUUAAUCGGAGUGUGUGCGUCACUAGAGUCCCCAAAGAGUCAUUUAAUCGGAGUGUGUGUGUCACUAGAGUCC
Molecule: long non-coding RNA, 2526 nt
Organism: Carassius gibelio (silver crucian carp)
Lineage: Eukaryota; Metazoa; Chordata; Actinopteri; Cypriniformes; Cyprinidae
Exons: 3
Source: RefSeq, a predicted model, not a curated record